Molecule: unclassified non-coding RNA, 8256 nt
Filed under: Mizuhopecten yessoensis (Yesso scallop)
Lineage: Eukaryota; Metazoa; Mollusca; Bivalvia; Pectinida; Pectinidae
Description: uncharacterized LOC110442944, transcript variant X1
Source: RNAcentral
AAAUUCCCUUGACACCGGCAAGAUGUCCGCCACCACUGACGUGAUGUGUUUCGUCGAGUCGAUCAAAGUUUUAUGAUCAACAAAGGUUGGUGUUUAGUUUCACAGUGACAAAAUGAGACUUUAUUGGACAGCAUGGGGUAGAUGAUGGUGAAUUCGAAAACCCCAUUCAUCAAGCGAGCGACUCAAUUUCUUAGUGAAGUGCUUCCAAAGUGGAAAAGUUUUAGUUUUAGCGACCAAAUGAAGACCAAAAAUUUCUAUAUAUGUCUCCUAUUCAUUGCUGCUACUUCCACUUCUAUAUGGCUCCUGUCCAAUCCCUCCCCAAACCUGCAUACCAUCGUCACGCAGACCCACAAACAAAUCAACAACAUCAAAAACAUCCCAACUAACAUAAGGACUUCUAAUGAAGAGGAAUUAAAAGUGGAUCAUGUGUACCUGGAACGACUUGGAUUUUACGACAAGGAGGCUAAGGUUGUUAGCAGUGAGAUGAAGGAGACGCCGAUCAUUGGGACCUCAGCAUUGCCAGGCCACUAUGAAGAAGCUCUCAAGUUUGUUAAAUCUACCCAAAAGAUUCUUCCUCAACAAAAAAUUCUUAUCUAUGAUCUGGGAAUCAGUACGACAGAAUCUCAACAGAUGGUUAAGUUCUGCAACAAGACGAGGACAUGUAGCCUAAAAGUGUUUCCGUUUGAUAAAUUUCCAUCACACGUUAGAUACCUGGAUACCAAGAGUUAUCGGCCCUUGGCUGUACAGGAGACACUUAAGGAAUAUGGAGCUGUGAUAUGGCUGGAGCCGCCCGAACACUUCACCACCAGCAAGCUCAAUAAGGUAUUAGCUCAGGCACAAAAGGAGGGAAUCGCGGCCUGGACCAUCCAGGAACCUGCCUCUGCUCUUAUCCACCCAAAGAUGUUCAAAUAUUUCAAAACCAAGCAGAAUAAUUACUUCUUUUUAAGGGCAGCAAAAGCCAACCAGUUGAUUAUUUACAACACAGAGAAAAUACGACAAGAUUUGAUGUUACCAUGGGUUAAAUGUGCGUUAACAGAAGAAUGCAUAAAUCCCACAGGUGCUCAGAAUUUUGGCUGUAAUUAUGAUCUUAAACCUCGUUUUAGGUACAUGGGCUGUCAUAAAUAUGACAUGGCCGCCCUUAAUGUUAUUCUGGGAUUAAUGUUUGACUUUUCUGAGUCGCCGUACGAAGUGGAAGAGGAAAUCUUUGGUGUUUUGGUGACGGAACAGAAUGGGAAUUCAACUUCUCCACGAUAUGUUACCCGGGACAAACUCACUCAGAUUAGCUAGUCAGUACCCACAGAACACAAUGUAAUGGUAAAAGUUGGAACAAGCUGUGAAUUAAUUUUAUUGCCAGGUGUUAUGUAUUAUAUCUAGGAUGUUUGUGCUUUACUUUUCACAAUAUGCUAAUUGAAGCAGACCCUAUCAAAUUAUAAAAAAAAUUGGGCAUAAAAUGGGAAAAGUACUAAUCUUAAAGAACAAAUAGGGAAUUUUAAGUCCAGCAGACAGGUAAAACCACUGACACUAGCUUGUCUGUCAAUACACCUAUAACUAUAUGUUUAUUCACAGACAAGUUAGGCUAAUGCCUGUGGUUUAGACUUCUCAUGUAGAGUAGAGGAAACAGGUAUAUGGGUAAGAAUUAUCACACAAUUUGUAUUUUGAUUCAAUCAGAUCAAUAAAACUCGUUUAGGUAUAUCGGUCUGUAUCAGGAUAAUGGUAAGAUAGGGCACACAACAUACAAUGUACAGUAUCAGGUAACUCGGUCUGUAUCAGUAUAAUGGUAAGAUAGGGCACACAACAUAGAAUGUACAGUAUCGGGUAACUCGGUCUGGAUCAGUAUAAUGGUAAGAUAGGGCACACAACAUGCAAUGUACAGUAUCAGGUAACUCUGUCUGUAUCAGGAUAAUGGUAAGAUAGGGCACACAACAUACAAUGUACAGUAUCGGGUAACUCGGUCUGUAUCAGUAUAAUGGUAAGAUAGGGGACACAACAUACUAUUUACAGUAUCAGGAAAGAAAAACAAUGCAAUUAUUGAAACUCCCAUACAACGCACACUUUGUUUGUAGCCUAUUAUGUUGAUAUUCAUUGUUAUAGUUUCCUUAAUUGAAAAUGGUAAUUACAUCAUUGAUUAUUCUCAUUAAAUUUCAUAAAAAAAUCGUCAUUGAAUCAUGUUUACUGGAAUGAAACAAAACAAAAUUGUUAGUAAUUGUUUUGCAAAUUUUCUUAAUAAAAAGUAGAAGAAAAAAUGAGAUUUACAUUUAAAGGAAUUAACUGUGUUCAUAUAAAGAUAGACUUGGAUUUUCUUACUUCUGCUUUUUGUUGAUUUUGGAUGUAUUGAAGAAAUUUAUUUCCAUAAAAAAGAUGAAAAAACCCCAUUAUUAAAUGACAAUUAAGUGCUAUACAUCAGUUUGAGCACUGAGAUGAACUCUUAAAUUGCAUUAGUUAAAUGUAUUUCAUAAAAAAUCUCACAUGGUAUUUUGUCUUUAUUUUUUUUAUUGAAAAUGUUUCAGUUUUCAUAUUUGUUUUUAGUCGUAGUAGGAAUUUCUUUUAAUCAUCAGUUCAUUUUAUCGUGUUCUGCUUAGGAGGGAAAGAUAUGCAUCGCUAAAAUAAGAGUUUUCACUUGUUGAAAUAAUGAUAAAAGACAGGUUGAUAAUUAAGAUUUGUCCAUUAUUUAUUUGGUGAGUUUGUAGAAGGUAUCGGGUGAGUUUAUGUAAUGGUGCUUUGUCCGUUUGUCAUCUGUUGUGCUUCAAAUUUUUGCAUGAACUACUGAGAAGAUUUUAACCAAAUUUUGAUGUAAAGUAAUACAAUUAGAAGGGUUGACCAUCCAUUGGGUAGAGGGGUGGGGUCAAAAGUCACCGGAUCGGCUGAUAAACAAAAAUUGACAUCUUUUUUCAAAGUACAUUUGUACUCACUAGUGGAUUUCAACCAGAGUUUAGUGGUAGCAUGCUUAGCCCAUGGGGCUCUGAAUUGAUACAAAUGGAGGGGGUAAAGGUAGGGUAACAAUUCCAUUAACCCUCUGCCUCAGGCAGAUAGAUUCUAUGUCAGGACUUGUGACAGUUUCAAUAUUUACUAUAACAGUAGGUGGGCUAGAAUUAUUUUCUAAAUAUUCCUGCAGUUCUAAAGUACUCUAAAUAGGCAAUUGUAUACCCCUGCAAAAGGUCACAUUUUCUUAUCUGCUUUAAAUGACUACAUCUCCAAAACUACUGAGCAGAUUUAAACCAAAUGGUAGUGUAAGCAUGCUUAUCCCCAUUUGGAUCUAAAGUUUCACAAAUGAAGGGAUUGACCCUCCUGAGGGCUAAGGCAAAAGAUGUAGUUUUGAAAUAUUUACUUUAAAUGGCAUCUCUUCCCAAACUAAUGGACAAUUUUUACCUAAAUUGUUGUGGCAGCAUGGGUAGUGUCCUUAGCCCAUGGGGAUCAAAACUUAUAAUGACCUUAACAUUCCUGGAGCUGACCUCCCAAACUCAUGUCCUCAUAUAAUUGUAUUAACUUGAUUUCCAAAAUAGCCAGGUGAGCGAUUUCAGGCUCUUUUGACCAAUUGUUUAGCAUGUGUGCUGGUGUGUUACACAAAUGUGUUACAUAAGUGUAUUCGUCCCAUAUUUAUUUUAUGUGUGUUAUAAAUAAAGGCAUUACUCAUCGUUACUGUCCAAAGCUUAUUUGGUUUUUAUCUAGGCUUUGCAUGUAUUCGUCUGAUGUUUAUUUAGUAUACUUGAAUAACACGUUAUGUUUUACACAUCAACGCCCCUUUCUCGCCAUUAUACACAAGGCUUCCUCACUGGUUUUUGUUGUAAAUAUAGAGGUGUGGGUGCCAUGUUUAGUGGUAAAAUUAGACUUUAUCAAAAAUAAAAGUUUGUUUUGAAUGAAAAAUGUCCAUGAAGACUGUGAUAUCAGCACAUGUUUUUACAGUAGAAGCUGUUCAGAGAAACCAACACUUUAACAAUAAAAGUGGUUUCAAAAGUGACUUCCUUAGCAGGUUCAUUAUAAUGCAACUCCUCGGCAGAUCAUGAGUGGAGGGAAGUUUUGAACCUUUGUUUUGCACUUCUUAUGUAUCAGCAGCACAAUAUUGGAACCCCCCCCCCCCCUCCAUCCCCCUACAACACAGACACACUCACAUCUUUCCUAGAAAGCUGUUUUAAGAUUCACCUCUGCUUGUAAUUAUGUAGUUCUAGAUUGCUAUUGGUCAAAUAUGGUUUUGGUAGUAUAUGAUGAUCUAAAGUUAAGUGAAGUAUACAAAAUAUUGACUUUCAACUAAAGGCCCAUAAAAAGCAUAUUUUACAAACAGUAGUUAUGAUUAUACCAAUGACAUGUUUACACUCAAACAAAACCUACCAUAAAGCAAUGUAUGCUGUAAGUAUUGUUACUGUGUGUGGGUGUUCUGAAAAUGAUCUUAGUACAGUACUAAAGUAGUCUGUAUUGUAAAUUGUGUCCACAAGUUAUCUCCCCUUAACAUAAUUUAUCUGUAAAGCAAACAUAUCAUGGCAUAUUAUGACAUAGUUUCCUAGGUGAUUGUAAUACCCCAAAUAAUUCCAGUGUUUCUUAACCAUUCACAGUUGUCUUUGGUGACCUAGACCAAGACUAUCAGAUUUUAAAAGGAAUUGUUUAUAAGUAUAAUUUUCAGCAUUGAUUAUCUAAUAUUUGGUAAUAUUGAUUAUAAACAGUGUAAUUUGAAGCCAUGUUGACUUGUUCAUGUAGCCAUCCAAGAUAUCCGGCUUGAUUGCAUCAGUAGCUCACAUAUCCUUGAUAUUCCAGAGGUUAAGCUCACUUACAUUCUGGGGCCCCCUGGGAUAUCUUGUGACCAGAUCGGAGACAUGUGGCUAGCUAUUUGGUUGGUUUCAGGUAACAAAAUCUCGCCAAUCACCACAAUGUUAUUUGUCCUUUGAAUAUUUCAGAAGCUUCAAAGUGGGUCAAUUUUAGCAUUAUGUUGCUGUGAAAUCCUUUAAUGUACAUCUGAUGAUUAACUAACCUUCUUGUAUCAUCAACAAGGUGCCACAUACAAAGCAUCUGAUAUCGUCAUGACAUAUUCCAGGAUUGCAGAGCAUGUAAGUAAGCCUAACCCCUGAAAUUCAAGAAUGUAUGUAUGUAUGGUGUCGAGGAUAUGAUGUUUAAAGAUUACUGCAGAAUUUGCUAAUAUGAGAUAUAGCAAUUUCUGUUCAGUAUCUUUUGAAUGUUUUGCUGUUACCAUCAUGAUUUAAAAUUUAAACUGAAUACUGUUUUAUUCAGAAAUCUAUAGAAAUCAUACAUUUAAUAUAUCAUUGUUACUUUAUCUGUUAUUUUGUAAAAGAGAAUGUCCAAACUAACAUAUAGGACCCUAUGGUGCUUAUUAUAGCAAUACUGUAUAGUUGCUAAUAUUUAUAAGGGUUUUAAAUUUGCAUAUUUUUCAAAUGUGUUAAAUUCACGAAAUUGGAAGCCUCGUUAAUAUUUUGAGAUCCUCGUGUUGUUCGUUGCUAGUAGUAACAAGCACUUGGAACUCUUUGCGAGGAGUUCCAAAGUAGACUUACAGAAAUUAUGAUUUGCGAGAUUAAACCCCCAUGAAUAAGUUCUGGACACAAAAUCAGGAACUUUUAAACCAGCAAAAUUUAACAACUUUACGGUAUUUAGUUCCUAUGGUGUUUAAUUAACUAACAGUGUGGUCCUGUGGUGUUUCAUAAAACUUGUUGUCAAUUCAUUGAUCAUCUUCCACAAUGAAAUAAUCAGAAGAUUAUGUAUGUAAGGUUCGUGUCAUAGACUGUGAUUGCUAUAUUACCACAUGAUAUUAAACAAGUUAUCUCCCUUUAUGUAAAAAAAAAUUAGUCAUGUUAGGUAUUGGGGAUAUGGAAAUUCUGAUUCGGAUUUUUAUUUUUGUUGAAGAGAUGAUGUCACAUUUCAGUACAAAUAUCACCAAGGCACGGAACAUUUUUAACUCAAAUUAUUUGCUUUUUUGUUAGAAUUUAGAGAAUGGUAGUUUACAAACAAGAGAUCACUGGGUGCCCCUAUUUUGUAUGUGGGAUCCUGCAUGGGUAUCCCUAGUGAACCAUGUAGAGUUAGGAAUACAUCAUUACAUGCUUUUUUUGUUCAUAAUAAUAGCAAACAAUAGAAGAAACUUUAACAAUGACUGCAUGUAUUCCAUAUUUUUUUUCAAUCCCGAAGUUUCAGAUGUUAAGCACUAGGCAAGUAUUCUCGAAAAUUGCUUACAAACUUGAUGGUGGUGAGGUCAUUAUUCAAUUUACUUCUCCAUACAAUUAUUUUUCUGAGUUGUCUCCCCUACUUGAGAUAAAUUGCUGCUUCAUACAAUUGUUUUACUGGAUUAUCUCCCCUGAUUGAGAUAAAUUGCUGCUUCAUACAAUUAUUUUACUGAGUUAGCUCCCCUAAUGCAGAUACAUUAAUUCUCCCUUAAUUUUUAUACUUUGCUAAUGAGUUAUAUACCAUGAUUGAUUAAUUUUACAGUCUAACAUAUAUAUCAAACAUUAUCAUAAUUGGUUCAGUAUAAUGCACUAUUGGGUUAUCUCCCAUUUGUCCCUAUUGUAUAUAUAUAUAUAUUACAGAAAAAUCAAUAAAUAAAUCAUUCAUCAAGCUUUUUAAGGACAGCAAAAGUACAGGGGCCCGUUAAUUAAACUACAAAAAAUUCUGCUCAAAUGCAACAGUGACAUUAUGUUUCAAGCAAUUUUCCUGCCUGCUUUUUCUGCUUAUGUAUAAACAAGUAUACAGACAACUUAAAGGCCGGGUAUUUUAGUAGACUUUUGUUUUAAAUUUCCUGUUUAGAUUUUUUUUGCUCAUAUUUUUAUUUUCUUAGAUUUUACCUUUUUUGUAGACGUUCUCCAAACUGUGGUAGUUGGUCUUCAUUCUAGACAAGUCGGUGAGUUUUAUAAUUUCAAUGUUUUUUUAAUAGAUGGAGUUACCAAGGUGCUUGUAAAUAACUAACAAGUUAUUUGUGGAAUGUGCGAGUGGGCAUCCAUCAAGCCUCUGACCAUGCUAACUGUUGCUGAACUAGUGAAGGUGUCCCAGGGUUAUACCUUAUUGGUGGAAAAGCUAGAUUGCCAGUAAGGCAGUAUUUUCCUUGCAUAUUUCUUUGUCGUUACAUUUGACAAACAAUUAGAUUCAUAUGUCAAGUAUUUUAUUCUCGAUUGAUAGUUUAAACACGAUUCCACAAUUGCCUGUUACCAGGUAAAUGAAAUCAUGUCCUGCCAAAGUUAAUAUAAAGGUCAUAGGUCAGUGUACUCCAUUACUGUCCUGUCAAAGUUCACAUGAAGGUCAUAGGUCAGUGUACUCAUUCACUGUCCUGUCAAAGUUAACAUAAAGGUCAUAGGUCAGUGUACUCCAUUACUGUCCUGUCAAAGUUCACAUAAAGGUCAUGGGUCAGUGUACUCCAUUACUGUCCUGUCGAAGUUCACAUAAAGGUCAUGGGUCAGUGUACUCAUUUACUGUCCUGUCAAAGUUCACAUAAAGGUCAUAGGUCAGUGUACUCCAUUACUGUCCUGUCAUAAAGGUCAUAGGUCAGUGUAAUCCAUUACUGUCCUGUCAUAAAGUCAUAAAAAGGUCAUUAUAUUGACAAGUGAUAAUGUUUCCAAGCUUUUAAUCAAAUAUGAUGUAACACAAAGUGUGUAUUUAUUGUACAUGUUUCAGAUUUGUGAAACAAACUGUAUAUACAUGUUCAUGCUUCAGUAUAAAAACUGUUUUAUAAUUCAUUUCUUACUUUCAUUUGUAACAAACUUUUUAUCUUUACUGUACAUUUUCAUUGCUUCAGAUUUGUUUUGAAUUGCAGUAUAUUAGUAUGGUUUAUGAUUGAGUUGAUAUUAAACAAAACAUUAAUCGUAAAGGUUACAGGGAUUUCAUAACAAGUUAAACAAACUGUUCACAAAUUUCUUCAGUUAAAAGUGAAAGUAUAUGAACAAUGAUUCAGACAGUGGAAGCUCAUUCAUUCAUUCCAGAUGGUAAAUCAACUUAUAGAAUUUCUGUCUUUUUUGUGACAUUCUUGAAGCACAAACGUCCAUACUUAUUUUCAUCUAAGAAAACAAUUUUCUUUGUUAUGAUAAUAUAAUCUUUUAGAUGACAGGAAAAUAACAGAUAUACUACAAUGCCAGUCUGGUGAUAAUGAGGAGUUGAUCUGGCUUCUACGGUUUUCUUUGAGCUCCCAUGUACCAAUUCCAAAUAAUGAGAAGGUUAUCUGUUGAUACAGUAUCUUAUUGUCGUAAUAAUUUCUAAAAUUGUAUGCCACUUGUUGAGAAUUGAUGUACAUUUCUAUGGAAAUGUGGUUUAAAAUAAAAUACUGAUUGUCUCUGUCUUAUU